CCUACGGGAGGCAGCAGUGAGGAAUAUUGGUCAAUGGUCGGGAGACUGAACCAGCCAAGCCGCGUGAGGGAUGAAGGUACAGAGUAUCGUAAACCUCUUUUGUCAGGGAACAAAGGCGGGGACGUGUCCCCGGAUGAGUGUACCUGAAGAAAAAGCAUCGGCUAACUCCGUGCCAGCAGUCGCGGUAAUACGGAGGAUGCGAGCGUUAUCCGGAUUUAUUGGGUUGAAAGGGUGCGCAGGCGGUCUGUUAAGUCAGCGGUCAAAGCCCGGGGCUCAACCCCGGCCCGCCGUUGAAACUGGCAGUCUCGAGUUGGAGAGAAGUAUGCGGAAUGCGCGGUGUAGCGGUGAAAGGCAUAGAUAUCGCGCAGAACUCCGAUUGCGAAGGCAGCAUGCCGGCUCCACACUGACGCUGAGGCACGAAAGCGUGGGUAUCGAACAGGAUUAGAUACCCUGGUAGUC
Molecule: ribosomal RNA, 459 nt
Filed under: uncultured bacterium
Lineage: Bacteria
Description: partial 16S ribosomal RNA
Rfam family: Bacterial small subunit ribosomal RNA
Source: RNAcentral